RNAcentral lists this ribosomal RNA (427 nucleotides) under uncultured bacterium. RNAcentral describes it as "partial 16S ribosomal RNA". It matches the Rfam family "Bacterial small subunit ribosomal RNA", at positions 355 to 774 of the family's 1533-position model. The record is from RNAcentral.
UGGGGAAUAUUGCACAAUGGGCGCAAGCCUGAUGCAGCCAUGCCGCGUGUAUGAAGAAGGCCUUCGGGUUGUAAAGUACUUUCAGCGGGGAGGAAGGUGUUGAGGUUAAUAACCUCAGCAAUUGACGUUACCCGCAGAAGAAGCACCGGCUAACUCCGUGCCAGCAGCCGCGGUAAUACGGAGGGUGCAAGCGUUAAUCAGAAUUACUGGGCGUAAAGCGCACGCAGGCGGUCUGUCAAGUCGGAUGUGAAAUCCCCGGGCUCAACCUGGGAACUGCAUUCGAAACUGGCAGGCUAGAGUCUUGUAGAGGGGGGUAGAAUUCCAGGUGUAGCGGUGAAAUGCGUAGAGAUCUGGAGGAAUACCGGUGGCGAAGGCGGCCCCCUGGACAAAGACUGACGCUCAGGUGCGAAAGCGUGGGGAGCAAACA